Molecule: ribosomal RNA, 492 nt
Filed under: uncultured bacterium
Lineage: Bacteria
Description: partial 16S ribosomal RNA
Rfam family: Bacterial small subunit ribosomal RNA
Source: RNAcentral
AUUGAACGCUGGCGGCAUGCUUUACACAUGCAAGUCGAACGGUAACAGGCCUUCGGGUGCUGACGAGUGGCGAACGGGUGAGUAAUGCAUCGGAACGUGUCCAGAGGUGGGGGAUAACGCAGCGAAAGCUGUGCUAAUACCGCAUGUGAUCUGAGGAUGAAAGCAGGGGACCAAGCAGCAAUGUUUGGCCUCGCGCCUCUGGAGCGGCCGAUGUCAGAUUAGGUAGUUGGUGGGGUAAAGGCCUACCAAGCCGACGAUCUGUAGCUGGUCUGAGAGGACGACCAGCCACACUGGGACUGAGACACGGCCCAGACUCCUACGGGAGGCAGCAGUGGGGAAUUUUGGACAAUGGGCGCAAGCCUGAUCCAGCAAUGCCGCGUGCGGGAAGAAGGCCUUCGGGUUGUAAACCGCUUUUGUACGGAACGAAAAGGCUCUGGCUAAUACCUGGGGCUGAUGACGGUACCGUAAGAAUAAGCACCGGCUAACUACGUG